GACGAACGCUGGCGGCGUGCUUAACACAUGCCAGUCGAACGGAAAGGCCCAGCUUGCUGGGUGCUCGAGUGGCGAACGGGUGAGUAACACGUGGGUGAUCUGCCUCUAACUUCGGGAUAAGCUUGGGAAACUGGGUCUAAUACCGGAUAGGACAAUCGUUUAGUGUCGGUUGUGGAAAGUUUUUUCGGUUAGGGAUGAGCCCGCGGCCUAUCAGCUCGUUGGUGGGGUAAUGGCCUACCAAGGCGUCGACGGGUAGCCGGCCUGAGAGGGUGGACGGCCACAUUGGGACUGAGAUACGGCCCAGACUCCUACGGGAGGCAGCAGUGGGGAAUAUUGCACAAUGGGCGCAAGCCUGAUGCAGCGACGCCGCGUGGGGGAUGACGGCCUUCGGGUUGUAAACCUCUUUCGACAGGGACGAAGCUUUGGUGACGGUACCUGUAUAAGAAGCACCGGCUAACUACGUG
RNAcentral lists this ribosomal RNA (464 nucleotides) under uncultured bacterium. Its description in RNAcentral is "partial 16S ribosomal RNA". It matches the Rfam family "Bacterial small subunit ribosomal RNA", at positions 28 to 507 of the family's 1533-position model. The record is from RNAcentral.